Molecule: long non-coding RNA, 2260 nt
Filed under: Citrus x clementina
Lineage: Eukaryota; Viridiplantae; Streptophyta; Magnoliopsida; Sapindales; Rutaceae
Description: Citrus clementina (C. clementina) long non-coding RNA (CCLE_LNC000377)
Source: RNAcentral
GGCUCAACCCAUGUGGGCUAACCUGGUCCAAGCUUGGAUCGGCCAGACUUUUUUUGUCAACCCUAAACUUUUAGUUUCUAAAAAAUCUAUCGGUAAUCGGACUAACGAUUAUGAGGGAAAUGUAGGACUCAAAACCACAUUUCACAAUCCCAUUUUAAUGGUAGCAUUCACUUCCAUUUUAAUUUCAGGAUGCUUUUAAGCAAGUGAAUACUAUCAUUAAAUAUCAUUUCCUAUGUCGAUUGUCUAAAAUACAUAAUAAAAAUAAUUAUAUAGAACUUGUGAUAUUUUUAUCCAAUCAAUUCUUUUAUGCCGUGCAAGCCGCCAACUUGAUUUGAACAAAAGUGUUUAUAACCCAUUAUGCCGAUAUCGGAGCUGCAUACCGAGGGUCCGUCGCUUACUUGUCUGGAGUCAACAACGCAGCUUUCUCUUUAAGCUUAAUUUUAUUCUUUUUUCUUAAUUUUAUUCUUAAGUGUACCACCGAACCUUAGUUACCUUGAUCGGUUGGUACUUCAAGUACCGUAGACAAGUUCUAAGGUUCAAGGUCUGGUGAUGCAUGUAUAUUGAUCAUGUAAUUAAUUCUUCUUGAAUUAGAGGUAUUCUAAAAUACCUUCUUUUUGAGUUAAUAUAAUGUUUUUAUGUAUAAAGGUUCUCUUUAGUGUUAUUUUUUUAAAAUUUAAAGCUAUUUUUAUAACUAAUUGCCCCUAUUUGAAAUCAUAUUUUUAGAGAGGAUAGAGUUAGUUGCACUCUCAAAAAUUAUUUUAAAUACUUAAUUAUUAUGUACACUCGUCUAUUAAUUUAUAAAAAUAAGUUUCACUUCGUAAACACUCUUUAAAAGUAUGAUUUUCUGUCUGUUAUAGUAAUCUAGAUUGCAGGCAUUUUAGAAAUAAAAAUUAUAAUAAAAAAUAGAUUUAAUUGAGUAAUUUAUUAAGUUCAAAUUAUAAUAAAAAAGUGGUCAUCCCGCUUCAUUGUAGCUAUGCAACAGUGGCCAUUACAAUGUGGUUUGGUGCCGCAGCAACAGGUGCACGUGUUGCUCGGUUUUGCAAUCUAGCAGCAACCGCCCAUCGACAUGGUUGGCAAUAAUGUCUUUCCGAUGGUGCUAAGCGUGGUUGGUGGCAACGAUGAAUUCAUUUUGAUUAUCGCUAAUUGAAUAAUAUAUUAAAAAAAGUUAAUAACUUUUAAUUGUCUAAUUAUUUAUAAUUUUAAAUAAUCCGGAUUUAUGUUUUAGAAAUUUUCUCUCUUUGACUUUUAAGAAUUUUUCAUAAACAACACGGAGUACAAUGUUAAUAUUUAGAUUAGCACAUAUCAAUUGUUGAAAUUAUUUCUCCAUUACAUCGGACGACGGUAAUGGAUGAAGCCAAAAAAAAUAUAAAAUUGGUGAUACCUUACAAUAGCUGCAACGAAACUGUACCCUGCAAAUAUAUCAAACAGCCCACCCUAUAAAUUCAAAGUUCAAAAAUGCUAGUUUUCUUUAAACCACUAACUCAGGAGAUCCCUUAACAUGUAUUAUUCUUUUUUCGGCUGAAUUAAAAUGCUGGUGGUAUCCUCACUUUAAUAUCAAUAAAAAUUAAAAAAAAUCACAUAUUUUAAUACAUAAUAUAUAGAUACACACAUAGAUUUUAGUACUUCUAUUCUUUUAAUGAAAUUGAUAAUUGAUUGCUUCAUCCAUAACUAUGCUAUAAGAAGACAUUUUUUUUUUAAAUAUUACAUUAGAGAAUACAUCACAUUCACACCUAGUGAUAAAUACAAUUUAAUAUAUUUAUUGGGACUUAAAGUUAGUCCAAUACUCAUAUUAAAGUUGAAGUCCAAAUUUAAAAUUUGAAAACAAAGAAAGAAAUAAAUAAAUAAAAGUCACACACACACUCACCGAGGGACACUCGCACCGUCAACUCCAAAAAUGAUGUUAGGAAGUGUCGCAAUCAACACAACUAUAAGUUAUUAACUUAUUGGCAUAUUAUAAGGAGCUAUUAACUCAACUAUAAGCUAUUAAUUUAUUGACGGAGCCCAUACACUGUUUAUGGAUAUGGGUGUAAGUUACAUGAAUUGUAACUUAGUGUUUGUCAUAUUAUAAUUCUUUGGUUCAUUUAUUUUGAAAUUUUAUUUAAUUUUUAAAGAAUAUUACCCAUAAAUUUUGCCUAUAGAUUUCCUUUAUUUUUAAUACAUAUAAGGGUGAGGUUUUUUGUACCCCUAAAACUACUUUGUAAACCCAUAUUUUAAGUAGAACUUUUUGAUAUGCUUAUUUAUAACUUAUAUGUUAUUUUAA